AGAGUUUGAGUCCUGGCGUCAGGAUGAACGCUAGCUACAGGCUUAACACAUGCAAGUCGAGGGGCAGCGGGGCGUAGCAAUACGCCUGCCGGCGACCGGCGCACGGGUGAGUAACGCGUAUCCAACCUGGCCCUUAGUAGGGGAUAGCCCGGCGAAAGUCGGAUUAAUACCCUAUGUUCUCCGAAGAGGACAUCUGAUUUGGAGCAAAGAUUUAUCGCUAUGGGAUGGGGAUGCGUCCGAUUAGGCAGCAGGCGGGGUGACGGCCCACCCUGGCCGACGAUCGGUAGGGGUUCUGAGAGGAAGGUCCCCACACUGGUACUGAGACACGGACCAGACUCCUACGGGAGGCAGCAGUGAGGAAUAUUGGUCAAUGGGCGGGAGCCUGAACCAGCCAAGUAGCGUGAGGGACGACGGCCCUACGGGUUGUAAACCUCUUUUGCCGGGGAAUAAAGUGCGCCACGCGUGGCGUUUUGUAUGUACCCGGAGAAUAAGGACCGGCUAAUUCCGUGCC
RNAcentral lists this ribosomal RNA (511 nucleotides) under uncultured bacterium. RNAcentral describes it as "bacterial SSU rRNA". It matches the Rfam family "Bacterial small subunit ribosomal RNA", at positions 8 to 509 of the family's 1533-position model. The record is from RNAcentral.